RNAcentral lists this long non-coding RNA (1240 nucleotides) under Solanum tuberosum (potato). RNAcentral describes it as "long non-coding RNA (STUB_LNC000613)". The record is from RNAcentral. Lineage: Eukaryota; Viridiplantae; Streptophyta; Magnoliopsida; Solanales; Solanaceae.
AACUCCGUUUUCAAAUUGGUUUUCACCAUUAGCUUCCAAAUACUUUAAGGAUCAUUUUACAUCAAAAAUUUCCAGAUUUGGGUAUCGUUUUCCGGUAUGAGACUUUUGGACCGUUUUGCCCUUUUUCCCUAAAUUUCUUGAUUUUGGUGUCAUUGGACUCGAAUUGUGAUUGUGAAUAAUUGUUUGAAUAGAUUAUCGUGAUCCGGAUUCUACUCGGAAAGGAAAGGCUCAAGUCAAGUAACUUUUGGAGUUCGUUUUAAGGCAAUUGGCUUCCAAACUUUGUAAAACUCUUAGACUACGCAUGACUACUUUCCUAAUUGUGUUGGGGAGUAAUGGGGAUUGAGGAUGGGUUUUAUUUGUUGAUUGAAAUUGUUGUAAAUGAAAGAUGGGGAAUAAAACGAGCUAAAUGUGUUAUAUGUGACUUGAAUUUGUUGAAUAAGUCAUGUGAUAACUGAUAUUGAGGGGAUAGAAGAGCAUGAGUAGGCUAUGAUUGAUACAGACAUUGAUGUUGAGACAGAUGAUGUGUAAUAUUAUGAUGUGAUCGUGAUAUGAUUGUGAUUGAUGACAUGUGCAUAUUCAUUAUUCAUCCCAUGUGUGAACUAUCUGUUGCAUGAGUUCUGAGACACUGAUAUGAGGAUGGAUGGAUAUGAGACACAGUUGAGACUAGCUUCGGCUAGCGAUUUGGAUGCCGAUGGGAUCUGGUUCCGGCGGGGAUACAUGGUCCAUGUGUGGCCCCCAUGGGUUCUGAUUUGAGUAUUCAGCGCGGACUGAUUACGUCAACAGAUGUGUAUGGUAGGACAGACAUGCAUCACGACUACAUGACAUCAUUAUUGCAUUUUGCAUCGCAUUUGCCUUAUCUUUGUCUGUGAUGUGUGGAUUGUAUCGGUUUACCCUUCUUAUGUGGAAUUUGAUCUACUUGCUCUUAUUUGUUGAUCUGAGGUUGAUGAGGAUAUACUGUUGGUUCUGGCUGUUGAAUAUGAUCUGUUUAGUAUAGGUUGGUUGGUUUGCUGUUAGAUUGAAGUUUCGGUGGUUGGGUUGGGAUUGAAAGGAGUUGUUUGUAGCUGCUAGUUUUGCUUAGUUUAGAGUUACUUGCGAGUACCUGUGGUUUUCGGUACUCACCCUUGCUUCUACACAAUUGUGUAGGUUGACAGCUCUCUCAGAUUCGGCUUAGUAUUUUCUUUAGCAGAUUGAGCUUCGGGACAUACUCGAGAGGUAGCGGUUCAUUCCAGACGUGCCCUUG